Molecule: transfer RNA, 61 nt
Filed under: Parabacteroides distasonis
Lineage: Bacteria; Pseudomonadati; Bacteroidota; Bacteroidia; Bacteroidales; Tannerellaceae
Description: tRNA-Leu
Rfam family: tRNA
About the family: Transfer RNA (tRNA) molecules are approximately 80 nucleotides in length. Their secondary structure includes four short double-helical elements and three loops (D, anti-codon, and T loops).
Source: RNAcentral
GCUCCCUUAGCUCAGUUGGUUAGAGCCUUUGGGGUAGCCGGUUCAAGCCCGGCAGGGGGCA